CGUACAACGUGGAUAACGAACCCCUACGGUUCGGGAGUACAAUCGGGAAACUGGUGCGUAAUACCGGUGUGUCUGCGAAGCCAACAGGCUUGCAGAGAAAGACACGCAAGGUCGCCAGGGACGGUUCGCGUCCCAUCAGCUAGUUGGUGAGGUAAUGGCUCACCAAGGCGAAGACGGUAGCUGGUCUGAGAGGAUGAUCAGCCACACUGGAACUGAGACACGGUCCAGACUCCUACGGGAGGCAGCAGUGGGGAAUAUUGCGCAAUGGGCGAAAGCCUGACGCAGCCACGCCGCGUGAGCGAUGAAGGUCUUAGGAUCGUAAAGCUCUGUGGAGGGAGAAGAAGAAAGCCGGUGAAGAGCCGGCCUUGACGGUAUCCCUUUUAGCAAGCACCGGCUAACUCCGUG
This 405-nucleotide ribosomal RNA is filed under the name uncultured Enhygromyxa sp. RNAcentral's name for it is "bacterial SSU rRNA". It matches the Rfam family "Bacterial small subunit ribosomal RNA", at positions 109 to 507 of the family's 1533-position model. The record is from RNAcentral. Lineage: Bacteria; Pseudomonadati; Myxococcota; Nannocystales; Nannocystaceae.